GGACAACCUACCCUUGGGUCUGGCAUAAUCCUGGGAAACUGGGUAUGAUUCCGGAUAGGUCACAGAUGCUGGAAUGCACUAUGGCCGAAAGCUCCGGCGCCCAAGGAUGGGUCUGCGGCCUAUCAGGGUUGUAGUGGGUGUAACGGACCUACUAGCCUACGACGGGUACGGGUUGUGAGAGCAAGAGCCCGGAGAUGGAUUCUGAGACACGAAUCCAGGCCCUACGGGGUGCAGCAGGCGCGAAAACUUUACAAUGCGGGAAACCGUGAUAAGGGAAUCUCGAGUGCCAGCAUAUAAUGUUGGCUGUCCAGAUGCCUAAAAAGCAUCUGUUAGCAAGGGCCGGGCAAGACCGGUGCCAGCCGCCGCGGUAACACCGGCGGCCCGAGUGGUAACCGCUUUUAUUGGGUCUAAAGGGUCUGUAGCCGGCCAAGUAAGUCCCUUGGGAAAUCUGGCAGCUUAACUGUCAGGCUGCUAGGGGAUACUGCUAGGCUUGGGACCGGGAGAGGUGAGAGGUACCUUGGGGGUAGGGGUGAAAUCUUGUGAUCCUCGGGGGACCACCAGUGGCGAAGGCGUCUCACCAGAACGGGUCCGACGGUAAGGGACGAAAGCUAGGGGCACGAACCGGAUUAGAUACCCGGGUAGUCCUAGCCGUAAACGAUGCUCGCUAGGUGUCAGUCACGGUGCGACCGUGAUUGGUGCCGUAGGGAAGCCGUGAAGCGAGCCACCUGGGAAGUAUGGCCGCAAGGCUGAAACU
RNAcentral lists this ribosomal RNA (754 nucleotides) under uncultured Methanosaeta sp. Its description in RNAcentral is "bacterial SSU rRNA". It matches the Rfam family "Archaeal small subunit ribosomal RNA", at positions 102 to 856 of the family's 1478-position model. The record is from RNAcentral. Lineage: Archaea; Methanobacteriati; Methanobacteriota; Methanomicrobia; Methanotrichales; Methanotrichaceae.